GAUCAUGGCUCAGAUUGAACGCUGGCGGCAGGCCUAACACAUGCAAGUCGAACGGUAACAGGAAGAAGCUUGCUUCUUUGCUGGCGAGCGGCGGACGGGUGAGUAAUGUCUGGGAAACUGCCUGAUGGAGGGGGAUAACUACUGGAAACGGUAGCUAAUACCGCAUAACGUCGCAAGACCAAAGAGGGGGACCUUCGGGCCUCUUGCCAUCGGAUGUGCCCAGAUGGGAUUAGCUAGUAGGG
RNAcentral lists this ribosomal RNA (242 nucleotides) under uncultured bacterium. RNAcentral describes it as "partial 16S ribosomal RNA". It matches the Rfam family "Bacterial small subunit ribosomal RNA", at positions 15 to 253 of the family's 1533-position model. The record is from RNAcentral.